UACGUAGGGCGCAAGCGUUAUCCGGAAUUAUUGGGCGUAAAGAGCUCGUAGGCGGUUUGUCGCGUCUGCCGUGAAAGUCCGGGACUCAACUCCGGAUCUGCGGUGGGUACGGGCAGACUAGAGUGAUGUAGGGGAGACUGGAAUUCCUGGUGUAGCGGUGAAAUGCGCAGAUAUCAGGAGGAACACCGAUGGCGAAGGCAGGUCUCUGGGCAUUAACUGACGCUGAGGAGCGAAAGCAUGGGGAGCGAACAGG
RNAcentral lists this ribosomal RNA (253 nucleotides) under uncultured bacterium. Its description in RNAcentral is "partial 16S ribosomal RNA". It matches the Rfam family "Bacterial small subunit ribosomal RNA", at positions 524 to 776 of the family's 1533-position model. The record is from RNAcentral.